GACGAACGCUGGCGGCGUGCUUAACACAUGCAAGUCGAACGGAAAGGCCCUGCUUUUGUGGGGUGCUCGAGUGGCGAACGGGUGAGUAACACGUGAGUAACCUGCCCUUGACUUUGGGAUAACUUCAGGAAACUGGGGCUAAUACCGGAUAGGAGCUCCUGCUGCAUGGUGGGGGUUGGAAAGUUUCGGCGGUUGGGGAUGGACUCGCGGCUUAUCAGCUUGUUGGUGGGGUAGUGGCUUACCAAGGCUUUGACGGGUAGCCGGCCUGAGAGGGUGACCGGCCACAUUGGGACUGAGAUACGGCCCAGACUCCUACGGGAGGCAGCAGUGGGGAAUAUUGCACAAUGGGCGGAAGCCUGAUGCAGCAACGCCGCGUGCGGGAUGACGGCCUUCGGGUUGUAAACCGCUUUCGCCGGUGACGAAGCGUGAGUGACGGUAAUGGGUAAAGAAGCACCGGCUAACUACGUGCCAGCAGCCGCGGUGAUACGUAGGGUGCGAGCGUUGUCCGGAUUUAUUGGGCGUAAAGGGCUCGUAGGUGGUUGAUCGCGUCGGAAGUGUAAUCUUGGGGCUUAACCCUGAGCGUGCUUUCGAUACGGGUUGACUUGAGGAAGGUAGGGGAGAAUGGAAUUCCUGGUGGAGCGGUGGAAUGCGCAGAUAUCAGGAGGAACACCAGUGGCGAAGGCGGUUCUCUGGGCCUUUCCUGACGCUGAGGAGCGAAAGCGUGGGGAGCGAACAGGCUUAGAUACCCUGGUAGUCCACGCUGUAAACGGUGGGUACUAGGUGUGGGGUCCAUUCCACGGGCUCCGUGCCGUAGCUAACGCUUUAAGUACCCCGCCUGGGGAGUACGGCCGCAAGGCUAAAACUCAAAGGAAUUGACGGGGCCCCGCACAAGCGGCGGAGCAUGCGGAUUAAUUCGAUGCAACGCGUAGAACCUUACCUGGGUUUGACAUGGAUCGGGAGCGCUCAGAGAUGGGUGUGCCUCUUUUGGGGUCGGUUCACAGGUGGUGCAUGGCUGUCGUCAGCUCGUGUCGUGAGAUGUUGGGUUAAGUCCCGCAACGAGCGCAACCCUUGUUCACUGUUGCCAGCACGUUAUGGUGGGGACUCAGUGGAGACCGCCGGGGUCAACUCGGAGGAAGGUGGGGAUGACGUCAAGUCAUCAUGCCCCUUAUGUCCAGGGCUUCACGCAUGCUACAAUGGCUGGUACAGAGAGUGGCGAGCCUGUGAGGGUGAGCGAAUCUCGGAAAGCCGGUCUCAGUUCGGAUUGGGGUCUGCAACUCGACCUCAUGAAGUCGGAGUCGCUAGUAAUCGCAGAUCAGCAACGCUGCGGUGAAUACGUUCCCGGG
Molecule: ribosomal RNA, 1343 nt
Filed under: uncultured bacterium
Lineage: Bacteria
Description: 16S ribosomal RNA
Rfam family: Bacterial small subunit ribosomal RNA
Source: RNAcentral